RNAcentral lists this ribosomal RNA (428 nucleotides) under uncultured bacterium. RNAcentral's name for it is "partial 16S ribosomal RNA". It matches the Rfam family "Bacterial small subunit ribosomal RNA", at positions 354 to 796 of the family's 1533-position model. The record is from RNAcentral.
GUAGGGAAUAUUGCACAAUGGGGGAAACCCUGAUGCAGCGACGCCGCGUGAGUGAUGAAGGCCUUCGGGUCGUAAAGCUCUGUCGUAUGGGACUAACAAAAUGAAGGUACCAUGCAAGAAAGGAUCGGCUAACUUCGUGCCAGCAGCCGCGGUAAGACGAGGGAUCCUAGCGUUGUUCGGAAUUAUUGGGCGUAAAGCGGGUGUAGGCGGGCCUGUCAGUCAGGUGUGAAAUCCCAGGGCUUAACCCUGGAAGUGCACUUGAUACUGCAGGUCUUGAGUGUGGUAGAGGCUAUUAGAAUUCUUGGUGUAGUGGUGAAAUACGUAGAUAUCAAGAGGAAUACCGGAGGCGAAGGCGGAUAGCUGGGCCAACACUGACGCUGAGACCCGAAAGCGUGGGGAUCAAACAGGAUUAGAAACCCCAGUGGUCC